Molecule: long non-coding RNA, 1456 nt
Organism: Anopheles funestus (African malaria mosquito)
Lineage: Eukaryota; Metazoa; Arthropoda; Insecta; Diptera; Culicidae
Exons: 7
Source: RefSeq, a predicted model, not a curated record
UACCAGAAUUUAUUUUUAUUAAAACCAACACUUUCUUCAAAUAGCUCUUACCAGUCUUAAAAUUGCUUUGCUAGCUAUAACUAGAAACUACACCCUCAGAAGUAAAACACCAAACAUGAGGUUUCUAACAAAAAUUUUUCUUUUUGCUUUCAUCGCUUUAUUGGGAGUUGUGUCUGCUAAACCACCUCCAGAAGAUAUUGCGGCUUAUGAGAGAUUAUGUGUCAAACUCGGCCGUGAAAAGGAUUGCUGGAUUACUGCUACGCCUCCAACAUGGACAACCACCAGCUGAAUGUUUUGAGGAAAAGUUAAAAACCAAAAAAUCGACAUAGUUGAUGGUUUAUAAUACGGAAAAAAUAUAUUCACUACGCACUCGUAAAAACAAAACAAACAAUUUUAUACUAAUUAUCAACUAAAACUCACAACAAUUCAGUAACAAACAGGGCAGAGAGUUCGCUCUCUCACAUUUUCAUUUAAAUAGCAAAAGCUAUCAGCUACUUUAUUGCUCACACGUUAGUUGAAACUAAGCAAGACACUUCAUAAAACAAAACAAAACAUAAUGAAGGAUUUACUGAUUGAGUUUCUCUACGCAUUAUUAGAAUUUCUGCUGAAUAGGUUGGACAUGUAUUAUUUGGAUGGAGAAAUUACACCUGCAGCUCGUAGACAGACUGAUAUUACGGGAAUUUGGCGUUUUGGUCAAUAAAUCAGAAAUAAUUUACUAAAAGCGAUGCUCUUUCAUGUUUUGCUGAUGUUUGGUGAUGUUACAUUCAAAACAUCUUAUUAUUAAAGUAGAAAAUGUUAGUCGCAAACUCACCAAUUGUUAAUGUAGCCUGGGAAAGGCUACUGCAUUUAUAAUUUUUCGCCUCCGUCAUAAAUGAAACUUUUUUCCCCGGUAAAUCUUAUCGCUUACUCUGUGCCACUUGAAGUAAACAGCUUGUAUGCUUGUUACGGAUUGGUCGCGAAUGUUAAGCACUAUCAACAAUAUUUGUUUGCGUUGUAGAAAAUAUCUGCAAAUUACCUUAAGAAACACCAAAGCCUCUUCAGUACGUUCACACAUCGCAUUACCUAAAGACGCAAAUAAUGAAGCUUUCUAUGAAACUGUUUAUUGUUUCACAAGUAGUAAUAACGGGAGUUAUUGCAGUGAAGAAAUAUCCCGAUACGUUUCGUAAUAUCUUCUCAAAGACAAAAACCGUUCCCAAAGAGUCAGACACAACUGUCCCUGCUGCUGAGAGAUAGAUAUAAUAACAACACUAAUACAGGAAUGGAAAUUUGGUUCUUCAAAUUAUUACAACAUGUCUAACUUACUGCCGACUCUGCUGUCUACCAACGAUCCUUACGAUAAAAAUGGUGUAAUUAAAAAGUAAUAGUAUAAUUUCCAUUACAAAAAGUAAAAUCAUUGAAACUUUAACUAAAAACAAAAAUAAACUUUCUCUUGAAUCUUUACUGAGGUCCAAAACCA